This 468-nucleotide ribosomal RNA is filed under the name uncultured bacterium. RNAcentral describes it as "partial 16S ribosomal RNA". It matches the Rfam family "Bacterial small subunit ribosomal RNA", at positions 28 to 507 of the family's 1533-position model. The record is from RNAcentral.
GACGAACGCUGGCGGCGUGCUUAACACAUGCCAGUCGAACGGAAAGGCCCUGCUUUUGUGGGGUGCUCGAGUGGCGAACGGGUGAGUAACACGUGAGUAACCUGCCCUUGACUUUGGGAUAACUUCAGGAAACUGGGGCUAAUACCGGAUAGGAGCUCCUGCUGCAUGGUGGGGGUUGGAAAGUUUCGGCGGUUGGGGAUGGACUCGCGGCUUAUCAGCUUGUUGGUGGGGUAGUGGCUUACCAAGGCUUUGGCGGGUAGCCGGCCUGAGGGGGUGACCGGCAAAAGUGGGAAUGAGAGACGGCCGAGACUCCGAGGGGGGGAAGGAGGGGGAAAUAUGGAAAAGGGGGGGGGGGCCGGAGGCAGAAACGCCGGGGGGGGGAGGAGGGCCUGGGGGUUGAAAACGGCUUUCGCCGGGGAAGAAGGGGGAGGAAGGGAAGGGGGUAAAGAAGACCCGGAAAACACGGUG